Molecule: non-coding RNA, 453 nt
Organism: Camelus dromedarius (Arabian camel)
Lineage: Eukaryota; Metazoa; Chordata; Mammalia; Artiodactyla; Camelidae
Source: the annotation of a RefSeq genome assembly
AUGGGAGAAAUGAGUGUGACCCUGGUGUCUGGAGAAGGCCUGGGACCAUCAGUGUGGGUGCGAAUCUGCAGGGUCCUCGCUGCCAACAGGACCCAAUGUAUCCCCGAUGAGCAUAUCAUCAAUGCAGGGGUGGAUUCUCCGACUGUGGUGACCCAGGAGCCAUCCCUGUCAGUGUCUCCAGGAUGGACUGUCACACUCACCUGUGGCCUCAGCUCUGGGUCUGUCACUACCAGUAACGACCCUGGUUGGAUCCAGCAGACACCAGGCCAGGUGCCCCGCACUCUUAUCUACAGAACAAGCAGCCACCUCUCUGGGGUCCCCAGUCGCUUCUUCGGAUCCAUCUCUGGGAACAAAGCCGCCCUCACCAUCAUGGGGGCCCAACCCAAGGAUGAGGCCGACUAUUACUGUGCUCUGGACAUGGGUAGUGGUAGUUACACUGCCACAGUGAUGUAA